This 493-nucleotide ribosomal RNA is filed under the name uncultured bacterium. RNAcentral describes it as "partial 16S ribosomal RNA". It matches the Rfam family "Bacterial small subunit ribosomal RNA", at positions 28 to 507 of the family's 1533-position model. The record is from RNAcentral.
GACGAACGCUGGCGGUGUGCUUAACACAUGCAAGUGGAGCGACGAACCAGGGCUUGCCCUGGGGCAGAGCCGCGAACGGGUGAGUAACACGUGGGUAACGUACCCCGAUUACCGGGACAACCCGAGGAAACUCGGGCUAAUACCGGAUGUGCCCUCCUCCCAUGAGGGAGGCGCGUAAAGGAAGCUUCGGCCUCCGAAUCGGGAGCGGCCCGCGGCCUAUUAGUUUGUUGGUGGGGUAACGGCCUACCAAGACUGCGAUAGGUAGCUGGUCUGAGAGGACGACCAGCCACACUGGGACUGAGACACGGCCCAGACUCCUACGGGAGGCAGCAGUGGGGAAUCUUGCGCAAUGCGCGACAGCGUGACGCAGCAACACCGCGUGGGGGAAGAAGGCCUUCGGGUUGUAAACCCCUUUCAGGAGGGACGAAGGCCGGCCGGUGAAUAGCCGUGCCGGUUGACGGUACCUCCACAAGAAGCCCCGGCUAACUACGUG